Molecule: ribosomal RNA, 490 nt
Filed under: uncultured bacterium
Lineage: Bacteria
Description: partial 16S ribosomal RNA
Rfam family: Bacterial small subunit ribosomal RNA
Source: RNAcentral
GAUGAACGCUGGCUACAGGCUUAACACAUGCAAGUCGAGGGGCAGCAUGGUCUUAGCUUGCUAAGGCCGAUGGCGACCGGCGCACGGGUGAGUAACACGUAUCCAACCUGCCGUCUACUCUUGGACAGCCUUCUGAAAGGAAGAUUAAUACAAGAUGGCAUCAUGAGUCCGCAUGUUCACAUGAUUAAAGGUAUUCCGGUAGACGAUGGGGAUGCGUUCCAUUAGAUAGUAGGCGGGGUAACGGCCCACCUAGUCUUCGAUGGAUAGGGGUUCUGAGAGGAAGGUCCCCCACAUUGGAACUGAGACACGGUCCAAACUCCUACGGGAGGCAGCAGUGAGGAAUAUUGGUCAAUGGGCGCAGGCCUGAACCAGCCAAGUAGCGUGAAGGAUGACUGCCCUAUGGGUUGUAAACUUCUUUUAUAAAGGAAUAAAGUCGGGUAUGUAUACCCGUUUGCAUGUACUUUAUGAAUAAGGAUCGGCUAACUCCGUG